UUAGCGGCGGACGGGUGAGUAACACGUGGGCAACCUGCCUGUAAGACUGGGAUAACUCCGGGAAACCGGGGCUAAUACCGGAUAAUUCAUUUCCUCUCAUGAGGAAAUGCUGAAAGACGGUUUCGGCUGUCACUUACAGAUGGGCCCGCGGCGCAUUAGCUAGUUGGUGAGGUAACGGCUCACCAAGGCCACGAUGCGUAGCCGACCUGAGAGGGUGAUCGGCCACACUGGGACUGAGACACGGCCCAGACUCCUACGGGAGGCAGCAGUAGGGAAUCUUCCGCAAUGGACGAAAGUCUGACGGAGCAACGCCGCGUGAGCGAAGAAGGCCUUCGGGUCGUAAAGCUCUGUUGUUAGGGAAGAACAAGUAUCGGAGUAACUGCCGGUACCUUGACGUAC
RNAcentral lists this ribosomal RNA (399 nucleotides) under marine sediment bacterium ISA-6175. Its description in RNAcentral is "bacterial SSU rRNA". It matches the Rfam family "Bacterial small subunit ribosomal RNA", at positions 92 to 478 of the family's 1533-position model. The record is from RNAcentral.